CAUUUGACGUGGGCGCAGCCUGACCGCCUACCGCGUGGGUGAAGAAGGCCUUCGGGUUGUAAAGCCCUUUUGUUGGGAAAGAAAUCCAGCCGGUUAAUACCUGGUUGGGAUGACGGUACCCAAAGAAUAAGCACCGGCUAACUUCGUGCCAGCAGCCGCGGUAAUACGAAGGGUGCAAGCGUUACUCGGAAUUACUGGGCGUAAAGCGUGCGUAGGUGGUUGUUUAAGUCUGUUGUGAAAGCCCUGGGCUCAACCUGAGAACUGCAGUGGAAACUGGACAACUAGAGUGUGGUAGAGGGUAGCGGAAUUCCCGGUGUAGCAGUGAAAUGCGUAGAGAUCGGGAGGAACAUCCAUGGCGAAGGCAGCUACCUGGACCAACACUGACACUGAGGCACGAAA
This 399-nucleotide ribosomal RNA is filed under the name uncultured bacterium. RNAcentral describes it as "bacterial SSU rRNA". It matches the Rfam family "Bacterial small subunit ribosomal RNA", at positions 359 to 758 of the family's 1533-position model. The record is from RNAcentral.